AGAGGACGACCGAAUGGACGCGGGAUGGAGGCCUGGGAGGCCGGCUGGACCUAGGUAAAUGGGUUGGACAGAAUAAUUUUCCCUAUCAGAGGAGGCCGCUCUCACGUCUCCUUUAUGGAGGAAUUGAAGAUUGGUCCAGCUUGGAGAGGUGAACAUUCUUAGGUCUGCCUCGCUGGCCAGAUGUCAGAGCCACGGGAAUCAGCCAGCGAACCUGGACUGCAGCCAGUCUGUCUUCACAUUCAGGAAGACGUCUUCUCAAGAGAAUUGUUCUUCCUGGGCAUGAAGCAUGUGAGGUGGCCGCGUCCCGCCUGAUUUCCUGAGCUGCGUCCUGAUGGGGCAGCAGGUCGGCUCCAGAGGUCCUGUGGGGAGUAGUAGAUUGUGUUUUGCUUUUUGCAAUGGGAACUUCAUUUCUUAGUAAUGUGGGUGACAUUAUCCAAUGGGGAAAAUACCUCAAGAAGCAGGAGGGGGGCGGGGUGGGGAUGAGGCAUGGAUGUGACCUAAGUACAUUUUACAUGUCUGUGAAAAUAUCACAGUGAAACUCAGUGCUUUGUACAAUUAAUAUACGCUAAAAAAAAAAACUACUUGUAGCAAAAAUCAAAAGCUGUGACUAGGAGUCACCAAAUACAAUCGGUGCUGCGUGGCCCUUAGCACCACACCAUUUGCAGGUCAGAUGCAUGAAGGAUUCUUCCUGUUGCUUCAAGUUUCA
Perognathus longimembris pacificus (Pacific pocket mouse) is the source of this 706-nucleotide long non-coding RNA. RefSeq lists it as uncharacterized. The record is from RefSeq and is a predicted model, not a curated record. NCBI's taxonomy places the organism in Eukaryota, Metazoa, Chordata, Mammalia, Rodentia, Heteromyidae. The transcript is spliced from 3 exons.